This 445-nucleotide ribosomal RNA is filed under the name uncultured bacterium. RNAcentral describes it as "partial 16S ribosomal RNA". It matches the Rfam family "Bacterial small subunit ribosomal RNA", at positions 354 to 796 of the family's 1533-position model. The record is from RNAcentral.
GUGAGGAAUAUUGGUCAGUGGGCGGGAGCCUGAACCAGCCAAGUCGCGUGAAGGAAGAAGGAUCUAUGGUUCGUAAACUUCUUUUGCAGGGGAAUAAAGUGCAGGACGUGUCCUGUUUUGUAUGUACCCUGAGAAUAAGGAUCGGCUAACUACGUGCCAGCAGCCGCGGUAAUACGGAGGAUCCGAGCGUUAUCCGGAUUUAUUGGGUUUAAAGUGUGCGUAGGUGGUUUGAUAAGUCAGCGGUGAAAGUUUGCAGCUUAACUGUAAAAAUGCCGUUGAAACUGUCGGACUUGAGUGUAAAUGAGGUAGGCGGAAGGCGUAGUGUAGCGGUGAAAUGCAUAGAUAUCACGCAGAACUCCGAUUGCGAAGGCAGCUUACUAAGCUACAACUGACACUGAAGCACGAAAGCGUGGGGAUCAAACAGGAUUAGAUACCCCAGUAGUCC